AUUGAACGCUGGCGGCAUGCCUUACACAUGCAAGUCGAACGGCAGCACGGGUGCUUGCACCUGGUGGCGAGUGGCGAACGGGUGAGUAAUACAUCGGAACAUGUCCUGUAGUGGGGGAUAGCCCGGCGAAAGCCGGAUUAAUACCGCAUACGAUCUACGGAUGAAAGCGGGGGACCUUCGGGCCUCGCGCUUUAGGGUUGGCCGAUGGCUGAUUAGCUAGUUGGUGGGGUAAAGGCCUACCAAGGCGACGAUCAGUAGCUGGUCUGAGAGGGCGACCAGCCACACUGGGACUGAGACACGGCCCAGACUCCUACGGGAGGCAGCAGUGGGGAAUUUUGGACAAUGGGCGAAAGCCUGAUCCAGCAAUGCCGCGUGUGUGAAGAAGGCCUUCGGGUUGUAAAGCACUUUUGUCCGGAAAGAAAUACUUGGCACUAAUACGGUCGGGGGAUGACGGUACCGGAAGAAUAAGCACCGGCUAACUACGUG
Molecule: ribosomal RNA, 486 nt
Filed under: uncultured bacterium
Lineage: Bacteria
Description: partial 16S ribosomal RNA
Rfam family: Bacterial small subunit ribosomal RNA
Source: RNAcentral